AGAGAAGAAGAGAGAGAGGAGGGAGCAAAUCCCAACCGAUUGGAGUGAUUCAAAAGCCUAAACCACUCUAAAUCUUCUCCUCUUUCAUAAUCCUAGCUUUGUUUUGAGUGGGGAGCAUUGUGGAGAGAGAUAUUACCUCUCAAAAAUUCGGCCCUUUGGUGAAAAUUGGGGUUUUGAGAGUUUCUACCUCCAUUGAAGCUUGAGGAGCCAUCAAUCCUUGGUUGUGUGACCAUUGGUGGAUUGAGACAUUUGGACCAACCGUGAGUGAUCAACCAUUGGAGCAAGCUAUGGAGCUUGAAUAGCUCAUUGGAAUUGGUGUAUGUUUGUAAAAGUUGAUUGCUGAAACUGUUGGUGAAGAACAAAGGUUGACUGAAGCAUUGAGGUAAGGAUGCUGCAGGAGCCUCUGGUGGCAAGUGGCCAUACCUAGAUUAUGCAUGAAAUAUGGCACUUCUUUGAGUUUAUGCAUGCCUUUUGUAGUUGACAUGUAUAGGAUUUUAUUUUGAAAGCCCAUG
This is a long non-coding RNA of Gastrolobium bilobum, 512 nucleotides long. RefSeq lists it as uncharacterized. The record is from RefSeq and is a predicted model, not a curated record. Lineage: Eukaryota; Viridiplantae; Streptophyta; Magnoliopsida; Fabales; Fabaceae. The transcript is spliced from 4 exons.